AUACGUAGGUGGCGAGCGUUGUCCGGAAUUAUUGGGCGUAAAGAGCAUGUAGGCGGCUUAAUAAGUCGAGCGUGAAAAUGCGGGGCUCAACCCCGUAUGGCGCUGGAAACUGUUAGGCUUGAGUGCAGGAGAGGAACGGGGAAUUCCCAGUGUAGCGGUGAAAUGCGUAGAUAUUGGGAGGAACACCAGUGGCGAAGGCGCCUUUCUGGACUGUGUCUGACGCUGAGAUGCGAAAGCCAGGGUAGCGAACGGGAUUAGAUACCCCGGUAGUCCUGGCCGUAAACGAUGGGUACUAGGUGUAGGAGGUAUCGACCCCUUCUGUGCCGGAGUUAACGCAAUAAGUACCCCGCCUGGGGAGUACGGCCGCAAGGUUGAAACUUAAAGGAAUUGACGGGG
RNAcentral lists this ribosomal RNA (396 nucleotides) under uncultured bacterium. RNAcentral describes it as "partial 16S ribosomal RNA". It matches the Rfam family "Bacterial small subunit ribosomal RNA", at positions 523 to 918 of the family's 1533-position model. The record is from RNAcentral.